AUUUACGAAGUCACCGUAGGCACCUCGUCGUCGACGAGAACGUCUCCUCCCACUGAAAGCGCAUCGCCGGAAAUCCUGAAAUAAAUCCAGUAAUAAUGCGAGCACCAGGAUUUGAACCCUAGUGGGUUGGAGAUACCACUGUCCACAUAACCAACUCAACCACAGGUCGGGCUGCAAAUGAGUCGAGCUCGAGCGAGUUGGAGUUGGCUCAGCUCAACUCAUAUGAAAAUUCGAGCGAGCUCAAACUAAGUGAAGCUCGUGAUCGAGUUGUAGAACAUGACUCGUGCUCAGCUUGUAACGAUCUCGAGUCGAUCUCGAGCUAGUUUUCGAGCUAAAUGAGAUGGUAAAAAUUAUAAAUCUAUGGAUGAAAAAAUAGAUAAAUUAAGGUGAAUAUGCCGGGAAUCUUUGCCAAAAUUAUAGGAUAUUUAACUAGUCGACCACGUGCCAUAAUUAGGCCUAAAUUUUCUCUGCACUUAAUUAAGUUUUCAUGUUCGUUGGUAAAUAAAAUGAAGAAAAAUUAUGGACAACAUAUAUGGUAAUAAAUUAUCUUAUUUCUAUUUAAUAUAUGGUAUGAUCAUUUAACAUAAUGACAUUUUAUCGAGCUAACGAGCUAAAAUCGAGCAAGCCAACAUUGGCAAGAUCGGCUCAAUUCUCGGUCGAGCUACAUAAAGUGUUCAAAUUCAGCUUGUUUUCUUUUCAAGUCGAUCACGAGUCGAGUUAAAAAACGAGUUGAUCUCGAUCGGCUCACGAGCCUCGAGCUUUUCUUGCAGCCCUAACCAUAGGUUGAUUCGCGAUUAUACGUCAAGUUGAAGACCCAUGUAUUCUUGAAAAAAAAUUGAAGAUGCACCUUGGUGUACAUUAUUGGCAAGGUCAUGGACUUGGUCCACCCUUAUGGCUUGAUGGGCUGACUUCCGGUUUGCUGGAGUGAAUAGCAAAAAACUACCACAUUACGGGCUAUCGUUCCGAAAAACUACUGCUUUUUUUAAUUUUUUAAAAAACUACCACAAAAGUGGCUGGCUGUUCCAAAAAACCCAAGUGGCCAAACGGUUAAGUUUUAACUAGGGUUAUGACAUGUGGGGCCCGCCCGUCAGGGUUUUGUCGGCCACAGUGCUCACGGCGCGCGGGUGACGGCCGUUAGGGCGCACGGGCCGUCCCGACCAGGUCAAACGGAUCCGGCCUGCCCUCACUCUGUCUUCCCCCUCUCUGUCUCCCUCUCUCUCGUGCGCGCCUCCCUCUCCGAUGGCGGCGGCGGCGGCGAAACUAGGCGAUGGCGGUCAUUCAACGGGUGGAGGUGGAAGGGGGGAUGGAGGCGGCGAGUUCUCAGAGGUUGAUAACUGGCUGGGGAGUGGUAGCUUCGCAACCCAGCCGGCGGCGCCGCCGCCGCCGCAGCGGACACCACAGGCUGCAGCUCUGAUGCAGGCUCCUACGCCACAGGCUACACCGUCGUCGCCUGAUGAUUGGCAGUUCUCGCUUGAGUAUAGAGCAGCGAGGUCUCUUGCUAGCGCUGUGCAGGCAGAUCCGGCCAACUCCCAGCACUGGGCCUCUGCAUUUGGAGGGGUGGAGUAAGUUUUUUUCCUCUUAUGAGCUCCUUCAACAGUUUCUACAUUUCUGCUUGUUCAUUUCAAACAACAUAGCAUAAUUUAGUUAGUUUUUUGACCAAACCCUAGGUUGAUGCUGCUGUGAUUCAUCGUAGAACAUGAACAUGCACUGAAUAAUAGUUGAGCAAACACUCUGUGGCAUGUUUUGGAUGCAACAUUAUCACUUAGCACUGAAGGAUUAGUUAGAUUUAGUAGAAAUGCACGGUGGAUUCAGAGAAGCAUUUUUUGGAUUCAGAUUCCUUACUGUACUUUAUAGUUAGUGUGCACUGAAUUUUUGUAGCAAAAAACACUUAGUUAGUUGGGCUUUUCAAAUAACAUAUUAUGUAAUGCAGGCUGGAUGAUGAAAUUUGGGAGGUUAGGCUGCAUUUCCAGGGCAGAGAUAAUAUGGAAAGGAGGUUUUCUGUUUCAGACAUCACAUUUCUGAACUUGAUAGCACUUACUGAGACUGAAGGCUAUGGGUCAGAUGACUACAUGUACUGGGUAAAAGAACAAGGGAUUGGACAGGAAGGUUUAUUUCUUCUGGACAGUCAAGAUGCAGUUGAAGAAAUGAUAGACCACUCAGAUUUCACAGUGCUCAAUAUCAUUGUUUCCAAGGCAAAUGAAGAUAGAGAUGUUGAUUGUAACAGGGCUCACAAUGUUUGUGAAGAACAAAUUCCAAUAGGCAGUCCAGUGGGGGGUCCUGCUUUUGUGUUAAGUCUGUCACAAGAUGGAGUGGUCCACCCUCUUGAAGUUAAUUUGAACACACAACAAAGCUGUAACUUCAACAUUUCAGAAGCUAAUGGUGGAGAUGAUGAUGGACAGGCUGCUGGUCAAGAGGAUGAUGAUAUUGACAAAUCAUCCUCAGACUUUGAGAUUGAUAGGGGUGACUAUAGAGGGAUAAAGAUGUCUUACAAGGCUUUGAAGAGAGGUGAAGAAAAUAUUGGAAAUGAAAAAGAAAGAGAUGUUGUAGAAGACAGACCACAGUUUGAAGGUGACAGUGAUGUUUCAGAGUUUUGGCAGGAGGAGAAAGAGGCUGACAGUGGAGAGGAAAUAGUUGUGGAAAAAUGCAGGCCUGAGAAACUCAAGCCUGUGAGAAGAGCAGCAGCAAAUCCAGGUCCAACUUCCAGAGCUCACAGUCAGCCAGAGAUCCCAAAGUUUCAAGAUUUUGUACCUGAAGCUGAUGAGUAUUGCUUCCCUGGUGAUGUGGGCAUUUCUGACUCAGAUGGGGAGACUCCAAGACUACCUUCUGGAAGGAAGAGAAGAUUGAAGAAGAAGAAAGAGAGGAAAUGGUAUGACCCAAAGGUACCUGAUGCACAUGAGCAGCUGUGCAAGGACCUUUGCUUCACCAAUGUAUAUGAGUUUAGAAAGGCAUUGAGAAAUUUUCAUGUUAGGACUUUGAGAAACUUUCAGUACCAUAGGAAUGAACCAUCAAGGGUUAUUGUUUGGUGCCCAGAGAGGAAGAAUGGAUGUGAAUUUUUCAUGACUGCAUCCAAAGUAGCCCAUGAAGAUACAUUCACAAUCAAGAAGUGCCACAUGGAUCAUAGUUGUGGAGCUUGUGGAGAGAGUACAAAGGUUACUGCUGAAUGGGUUGCAGAAGCUGUGGAGGACACAGUUAGAUCAAAUGUAAAGGCUAAUGUAGAGACAGUUCUCAAACAUACUAAGAAGAAGUUUGGGGUGCAUGUACCUAGGAGUUUGGCAUAUAGGGCAAGACUGAUGGCUGUUGAUGUUGUGCAAGGUGAUCAUAGAAAGCAGUAUCUGAGGUUGAGGGACUACCUACAAUGUGUGCUUGACACAAACCCUGGAAGCAGGUGCAUAGUGACAACUUUUGAGGAUCCUUUGAACCCAGCCCCCACACCAAGGUUCAAGUACAUGUUCUAUUGCCUCCAGGCAUCAAAAGAUGGAUUUCUUGCUGGUUGUAGGCCUUUCAUAGGACUUGAUGGUUGCUUCAUCAAGUUAUCCACAGGCCAGCAGAUAUUGGCAGCAACUGGGAGAGAUGGGAACAACAAUGUGUUCCCAAUUGCUUUUGGGGUGGUUGACAAAGAGGAUGGGCCUAGCUGGACCUGGUUUUUAAACCAACUUAGAGUCUGCAUUGGCACCAGCAACCAGUUUGGGAACUACACCAUCAUGUCUGACAGGCAGAAGGGCCUUCUUAAAGAAAUUAAUGAAGUAUUUCCUCAAUCCCCACAAAGAUAUUGCCUAAGACACAUAUAUGCCAACUUCCAGUCAGCUGGCUUUAGAGCAGAAGAACUUAAGAAAUGGGUUGACAAAGCUAGCUAUUCCUUCACUGAACAUGGUCACAAAGAAGGAAUGGUAGGUUUGAAAGCAGCAUGUGAACCAGCCUACAUGUGGUUGAAUGGCAUCCCUAAGGAGUGUUGGGCUAGAUAUGCAAUGGAUCAUGUGUGCAAGACUGACUUGGUAGUGAACAACCUUAGUGAGGUUUUCAACAAAAUGAUUCUAGAUGUUAGGUCAAAACCAAUUAAGACCAUGUUUGAAGGGUUGAGGACCAAACUAAUGGUUAAGUACCAGGGCAUCAGAGAGAAAACAGAGAGCUGUAGGUGGGAAAUAACCCUACAUUACAUGGAAAAGCUUGAGGAGAGCAAGAAGUGGGCUAAAUACUGUGAAGCAAACAUGGCUGGUCCCAACAUCUGGCAAGUAACUAGUGGAGAGAACACAUAUUGUGUGAAGCUUGAUGUAGGGAGCUGCUCUUGCAGGAGGUGGGACAUGACUGGAUCACCUUGUCACCAUGCAAUAUCUGCAAUGCAGAAGAUAAAAGUUCACCCAGAAGAUUAUGUGCAUCCAUUCUUUAAGAAGCCAAUGUAUAAGGCUACAUACCAGCACAUCAUCUACCCUGUCCCUGGCCCUGAAUUCUGACCCAACACCAACACACCAAACAUAGAACCACCAGUUUUUAGGGAGAAGAAAGGCAAGAAGCAGACAGCUAGGAGAAAGGGUGAAUUUGAGGUGCCAGCUCCAAAGGAUACAUCAAGGAUGGGCACAAUAACAUGCAGUAAUUGUGGUAUGCAAGGCCAUAGGUGGACAAUGUGUGGAGACAGACUUAAGGCCAAGUUUAUGACAAGGAAAAACAACCACCAGGAAAACAGGGCAUCCUACCCAGCAACUUCAGCACCAAUCAGGCCACCUCCAUCUAGGGCCACAUCAUUAGGUCCAGCUCCAGCUUCAGGUUCUGCUCCAGCUUUAGGACCACUUAGGGGCAGGAAACCAGCAACAGCUUCAACAAGGGUAACCGCAUCUGCUACAACAAGGGCAACCACAUCUACUGCAGUUUCAACAGGUGGAUCAAGAAAGAGAAAGAACCCAUCACCUGCUUCAGCACCAGCCAACAACACCAGGUCAAGUGCAUCAUCUCCAGCAAAGAACACCAGGUCAAGUGCAAGAGGUUUCAAUGCUCCAAGGGCAGCAUCAACAUCAGGUCAAGCUAAUGUUGGUUCUAAGAGGAAGAGGAAGGCCCCAAGCAAAUUUGCUUUGUGUUUCACAGCCAGUGGCAAUCAUUGAAUGUGUUGCACUCAACUAUGCUUUAUGCCUCGAACUCUGCUUGUUAGGCAUGCUUGCUAUCUGUGUUAUUUGCAGUGAACUCUGUUUUCAUUUGAACAAUUAAGUUAUGUGGUCUAUGUAUGAACUGCUUGGAACAAUUAAGUUAUAUGGUCUGUGUUUGAACUGCUUGGAACAAUUAAGUUAUCUGCUGCCAAGCUCUAUUUUGAUUUGAUAUGUCCUAGGUUAUGAAUUGUUUCAUAUGAAAUUAUUUCUUAUGCUGAGCAUUGUUAUGUAGAUCAAGUGAUUUAUUUUGUUGAUAAUUGAUUGAUAUGAUUAGGUCAAUUUGGUCACUUUGGGGGGCAACUUGUCACCAACUCUAAAGCCACCCAAAUUUGGCCACUUUGGGUGGUUACUUGUCGACCAACCCCAAAGUGGCUAUUUAGGACCAAAACCUAACAUAUCAAAACUAAAACAUCAAGAUUUGCCCAUCUAGGCACCAAACCCUAAGAGAUCAAACCUAAAACAACAAGAUAUGGCCAUCUGACCAAAACAUCAAGAUCACCAGAUCAAUUCAUUCAUACAUACAAAUAUAGAUAAAAGAUUCACUCAUAAAUUGCAUCAUAGACAGAUUGAUUCAUCACAUAGAUAGAUCAUUCAACAUUUUUCUUUCACCAGCUUCAUACAUUGCAUUGCAUCAUAGACAACUUGAUUCAUCACAUACAUAGCUCAUUCAACAUUGUUCUUACACCAACUUCAAACAUCACAUAGAUAGAAAGACAGAUCUAGGAACACA
This is an RNA transcript of Triticum urartu, 5862 nucleotides long. RefSeq lists it as uncharacterized. NCBI's taxonomy places the organism in Eukaryota, Viridiplantae, Streptophyta, Magnoliopsida, Poales, Poaceae. The record is from RefSeq and is a predicted model, not a curated record.